Molecule: ribosomal RNA, 468 nt
Filed under: uncultured bacterium
Lineage: Bacteria
Description: partial 16S ribosomal RNA
Rfam family: Bacterial small subunit ribosomal RNA
Source: RNAcentral
GACGAACGCUGGCGGCGUGCUUAACACAUGCCAGUCGAACGGAAAGGCCCUGCUUUUGUGGGGUGCUCGAGUAGCGAACGGGUGAGUAACACGUGAGUAACCUGCCCUUGACUUUGGGAUAACUUCAGGAAACUGGGGCUAAUACCGGAUAGGAGCUCCUGCUGCAUGGUGGGGGUUGGAAAGUUUCGGCGGUUGGGGAUGGACUCGCGGCUUAUCAGCUUGUUGGUGGGGUAGUGGCUUACCAAGGCUUUGACGGGUAGCCGGCCUGAGAGGGUGACCGGCCACAUUGGGACUGAGAUACGGCCCAGACUCCUACGGGAGGCAGCAGUGGGGAAUAUUGCACAAUGGGCGGAAGCCUGAUGCAGCAACGCCGCGUGCGGGAUGACGGCCUUCGGGCUGUAAACCGCUUUCGCCUGUGACGAAGCGUGAGUGACGGUAAUGGGUAAAGAAGCACCGGCUAACUACGUG